RNAcentral lists this ribosomal RNA (497 nucleotides) under uncultured bacterium. Its description in RNAcentral is "partial 16S ribosomal RNA". It matches the Rfam family "Bacterial small subunit ribosomal RNA", at positions 28 to 507 of the family's 1533-position model. The record is from RNAcentral.
GAUGAACGCUGGCGGCGUGCCUAAUACAUGCAAGUCGAGCGAACAGACGAGGAGCUUGCUCCUCUGACGUUAGCGGCGGACGGGUGAGUAACACGUGGAUAACCUACCUAUAAGACUGGGAUAACUUCGGGAAACCGGAGCUAAUACCGGAUAAUAUAUUGAGCCGCAUGGUUCAAUAGUGAAAGACGGUUUUGCUGUCACUUAUAGAUGGAUCCGCGCCGCAUUAGCUAGUUGGUAAGGUAACGGCUUACCAAGGCAACGAUGCGUAGCCGACCUGAGAGGGUGAUCGGCCACACUGGAACUGAGACACGGUCCAGACUCCUACGGGAGGCAGCAGUAGGGAAUCUUCCGCAAUGGGCGAAAGCUUGACGGAGCAACGCCGCGUGAGUGAUGAAGGUCUUCGGAUCGUAAAACUCUGUUAUUAGGGAAGAACAAAUGUGUAAGUAACUAUGCACGUCUUGACGGUACCUAAUCAGAAAGCCACGGCUAACUACGUG